AUUUUUUUAGUAUUUAAAGAACAGUCGGGCAAGCAAGUCAAAAGCCGCUGCGAGAGCGACAGCCAGAGCCACAGCGAAUAAGGCAAACAUUUAAAAAAUCUCAUUAAAAUUGGCUUGGCAAAGAAGGAAUAUCUGUAAUACCCUAGAUCUAGACUUACACACCCAUUCACCAUCACACACACACACACACAAACACAUACACAUUGAGAGAGCUGUAAAGAAGCAGCAGCUAAAAUGCCCGUCUUUCACACAAAAACCAUCGAGAGCAUAUUAGAUCCUGUUGCACAGCAGCUAUAACAAGCCAGCAAAUUGGCGCC
This is an unclassified non-coding RNA of Drosophila navojoa, 317 nucleotides long. The record is from RefSeq and is a predicted model, not a curated record. Lineage: Eukaryota; Metazoa; Arthropoda; Insecta; Diptera; Drosophilidae.